GUAGGGUGCGAGCGUUGUCCGGGAUUUAUUGGGCGUAAAGGGCUCGUAGGUGGUUGAUCGCGUCGGAAGUGUAAUCUUUGGGCUUAACCCUGAGCGUGCUUUCGAUACGGGUUGACUUGAGGAAGGUAGGGGAGAAUGGAAUUCCUGGUGGAGCGGUGGAAUGCGCAGAUAUCAGGAGGAACACCAGUGGCGAAGGCGGUUCUCUGGGCCUUUCCUGACGCUGAGGAGCGAAAGCGUGGGGAGCGAACAGGCUUAGAUACCCUGGUAGUCCACGCUGUAAACGGUGGGUACUAGGUGUGGGGUCCAUUCCACGGGUUCCGCGCCGUAGCUAACGCUUUAAGUACCCCGCCUGGGGAGUACGGCCGCAAGGCUAAAACUCAAAGGAAUUGACGGGGCCCCGCACAAGCGGCGGAGCAUGCGGAUUAAUUCGAUGCAACGCGUAGAACCUUACCUGGGUUUGACAUGGAUCGGGAGUGCUCAGAGAUGGGUGUGCCUCUUUUGGGGUCGGUUCACAGGUGGUGCGUGGCUGUCGUCAGCUCGUGUCGUGAGAUGUUGGGUUAAGUCCCGCAACGAGCGCAACCCUUGUUCACUGUUGCCAGCACGUUAUGGUGGGGACUCAGUGGAGACCGCCGGGGUCAACUCGGAGGAAGGUGGGGAUGACGUCAAGUCAUCAUGCCCCUUAUGUCCAGGGCUUCACGCAUGCUACAAUGGCUGGUACAGAGAGUGGCGAGCCUGUGAGGGUGAGCGAAUCUCGGAAAGCCGGUCUCAGUUCGGAUUGGGGUCUGCAACUCGACCUCAUGAAGUUGGAGUCGCUAGUAAUCGCAGAUCAGCAACGCUGCGGUGAAUACGUUCCCGGGGCUU
This 861-nucleotide ribosomal RNA is filed under the name uncultured organism. RNAcentral describes it as "bacterial SSU rRNA". It matches the Rfam family "Bacterial small subunit ribosomal RNA", at positions 527 to 1382 of the family's 1533-position model. The record is from RNAcentral.